GCGGGACAAACAAAAUGGCGGCCGUUUGACGGAAAGAGGCGGCACCACGGAGAUCUGGCCAGGUCUGCCUAAAUCCAAAGCCUGUUUUUAACUUGUGCUUGAGAGUUGAGAAUAGAGGGGAGCACUCGGCAGAGACAUCUUUAUUUUCUGCUUCAUGGGUCUUAUUUAACUUAAAGGAAAAAAAAUCAUCUAUAGCAUAUGUCACUUCAUGGAGAAAGAGCUAAAAGUAAAAUAGUCCCUUCACAAAAAGUUUUUAUGUCUACCAUGUGACUGAAAGAAGCAGCAGAGGAAACAGCUACAGGAAGAAACAUUUUUCCAAGAAGGUCAUCCUAGGUGAAAUGUCACUGAGAAUGUAGCAUGAAGAGGAAAAGCUUGAGCAGAUCAGGAGGAGACUGG
RNAcentral lists this long non-coding RNA (396 nucleotides) under Mustela putorius furo (domestic ferret). Its description in RNAcentral is "lncRNA (ENSMPUG00000030373.1)". Lineage: Eukaryota; Metazoa; Chordata; Mammalia; Carnivora; Mustelidae. The record is from RNAcentral.